This 1237-nucleotide long non-coding RNA is filed under the name Phasianus colchicus (ring-necked pheasant). RNAcentral describes it as "lncRNA (ENSPCLG00000002943.1)". Lineage: Eukaryota; Metazoa; Chordata; Aves; Galliformes; Phasianidae. The record is from RNAcentral.
CGCGGCUGCAGCCCGCUCCCCUCGCUCGCGGGGCCCGAGGCCUGCGGCGGAGAGGCCUCCGCGUCCGGGCCGCCGCCGCCGCCGCCGCCCCCGUCCCCUCGAGGCCGGUCGGCCCGCCUCGCCGACACCCCGCCCGGCCCCGCUCCCCGCCCGCCCCGCUCCCCUCACCCGGCUGGGAGCGCGGCCUGGGGGCCCUGGCGAGCGGGAGGAGACGGCUCCGCGCGGCCCCGCUGCAGCCGCCGCCGCUGCCCGAGAGAAGGAGGAGGGAGGAAGGGAGCGAGCGGCGCGCAUGCGCGGCCCCACCUCAGCGCCCGCGCCGCCCGACCUCGGCGGCCAAUGGCCGCGCCGCGCCGUUACAUAACGCGGGCAGUGCGGCAUCGAUAGCCGCGCUGAGGCGGGGAGGGGCGGCGUGCGGAGUGUGGGAGGAGCGCUUGAGGGCAGGGAGCGGGGCCGCGCCGAAAAGAAGACUGCCAAGUGAACAAGCAGCCUUUCUCCUGGCUGAUGCUGCUUCCGGAUUGCUGCUGACCUCAGCACUGGUACUGGAGACUGCUGUCCAGGGUCGUGUCCCUGCACUGGGCACUGCUGCACGCCUGGCUGGAUGGGAAUUUCCAAUAACGUGGAUUUCUCGGCUGCUGAGUUCUUGCUGCUCUCUGAACCUUCUGCUGCUGCUGCCAGCAGAACUGAGCUCUUCAUGCGGCACAGAGGACCAUGACCUUCCCUCUGGCUGCUUUGUCGCCUUUUACGCUGCAGCAUGGUUCCUAUAUUGCCCAAAUCAUUGCUCUGCGAUUAAGACUCUAGGAAACAGACCAUUAGGAAAUUGAACCCAUUGUGGGAGAAAAAAAGAAUGAGUCCCCAUAGUUGGCAUUUUUGUUAUGAAGAUAAAAAAGAAAAUUUCCCCAUUUGCUAUGAAUGAUAUUGCAGUUUAUUCACUGCAUGAAACCAACUUAUCACACCAAUGGGAAUAUUUACACGUACACAUGCAGGGCAGCAGAGAGAUGCGGGGCGGAUAUGGUGAGCUGGUGGAGAGGCAGAGCUGGCUGUGUGCAGGAUGCUUCGCAUAGCUCUGUCAGAAUGAAGCAGUUGUAAUUGCAGAUUAUCCGGCUUGUGGACUUCCUGUGCUUUGUGCUACUCCCAUGUGAGGUAAAGCAAGCCAGAGUACAUGAAGGAAAGUUAAAAUUUAGAUUGAAAUGUUGUGUUUAGAAAUAAAUAGAAAUAUUCUGCUGUUUUUCUGAGCGCU